RNAcentral lists this ribosomal RNA (603 nucleotides) under Purpureocorticium microsporum. Its description in RNAcentral is "LSU rRNA". It matches the Rfam family "Eukaryotic large subunit ribosomal RNA", at positions 35 to 651 of the family's 3401-position model. The record is from RNAcentral. Lineage: Eukaryota; Fungi; Basidiomycota; Agaricomycetes.
UAAGCAUAUCAAUAAGCGGAGGAAAAGAAACUAACAAGGAUUCCCCUAGUAACUGCGAGUGAAGCGGGAAAAGCUCAAAUUUAAAAUCUGGCGGUUCUGCCGUCCGAGUUGUAGUCUGGAGAAGUGCUUUCUGCGCUGGACCGUGUACAAGUCUCUUGGAACAGAGCGUCAUAGAGGGUGAGAAUCCCGUCUCUGACACGGACUACCAGUGCUUUGUGUAGCGCUCUCAAAGAGUCGAGUUGUUUGGGAAUGCAGCUCAAAAUGGGUGGUAAAUUCCAUCUAAAGCUAAAUAUAGGCGAGAGACCGAUAGCGAACAAGUACCGUGAGGGAAAGAUGAAAAGCACUUUGGAAAGAGAGUUAAACAGUACGUGAAAUUGCUGAAAGGGAAACGCUUGAAGUCAGUCGCGUCGUCUGGACUCAGCCUUGCUCUCGCUUGGUGCAUUUUCAGUCGACGGGCCAGCAUGGAUUUUAGCUGCCGGAAAAGGGCGGGAGGAAUGUGGCACCUUCGGGUGUGUUAUAGCCUCCCGUCGCACACGGUGGCCGGGAUCGAGGAUUCGCGCCGCAAGGCGUUUGGAUGCUGGCGUAAUGGCUUUAAACGACCCG